AGAAUCAACGCUGGCGGCGUGCCUAACACAUGCAAGUCGAACGAGAAAGUGGAGCAAUCCAUGAGUACAGUGGCGUACGGGUGAGUAACACGUGACUAACCUACCCUCGAGUGGGGAAUAACCUCGGGAAACCGGGGCUAAUACCGCAUAACAUCUUCGGAUCAAAUGCGUAAGCAGCUUGAGGAGGGGGUCGCGGCCGAUUAGCUAGUUGGCGGGGUAAUGGCCCACCAAGGCAAUGAUCGGGUA
This 246-nucleotide ribosomal RNA is filed under the name uncultured bacterium. RNAcentral's name for it is "partial small subunit ribosomal RNA". It matches the Rfam family "Bacterial small subunit ribosomal RNA", at positions 26 to 286 of the family's 1533-position model. The record is from RNAcentral.